AUUAAUGUAAUGCAGUAAUAACAAAGAAUUUUACUUAAACUAAGUUUGACACAAAGAUACUUCUGGAAAAACAAAACCUGCAUCCACAGUUUCCUUUAUGGGGUUAAUUUAAUGUGAAUGUGUAUCUCGCUUUGUACCAUUGUGGGUUAAGGUUUUGCAGAGGCUGGGAGAAUGUGCUGAUUUAUGUUAAUAGGAGAAAAUAUUAAAUCUGCUUCAUAAUGAAAUAUUAAAGCUGCUACAAACACAAUUACACCAAACAAAACACCUG
Non-coding RNA from Pelobates cultripes (western spadefoot toad), 268 nucleotides. NCBI's taxonomy places the organism in Eukaryota, Metazoa, Chordata, Amphibia, Anura, Pelobatidae. The record is from the annotation of a GenBank genome assembly.